This 492-nucleotide ribosomal RNA is filed under the name uncultured bacterium. RNAcentral's name for it is "partial 16S ribosomal RNA". It matches the Rfam family "Bacterial small subunit ribosomal RNA", at positions 29 to 507 of the family's 1533-position model. The record is from RNAcentral.
AGUGAACGCUGGCGGUAGGCCUAACACAUGCAAGUCGAACGGCAGCACAGUAAGAGCUUGCUCUUACGGGUGGCGAGUGGCGGACGGGUGAGGAAUACAUCGGAAUCUACUUUUUCGUGGGGGAUAACGUAGGGAAACUUACGCUAAUACCGCAUACGCCCUACGGGUGAAAGCAGGGGAUCUUCGGACCUUGCGCGAUUGAAUGAGCCGAUGUCGGAUUAGCUAGUUGGCGGGGUAAAGGCCCACCAAGGCGACGAUCCGUAGCCGGUCUGAGAGGAUGAUCAGCCACACUGGAACUGAGACACGGUCCAGACUCCUACGGGAGGCAGCAGUGGGGAAUAUUGGACAAUGGGCGCAAGCCUGAUCCAGCCAUACCGCGUGGGUGAAGAAGGCCUUCGGGUUGUAAAGCCCUUUUGUUGGGAAAGAAAGGCAGCAGGUUAAUACCCCGCUGUUCUGACGGUACCCAAAGAAUAAGCACCGGCUAACUUCGUG